AUAGCUGUACUGAAGAGGAAGUGAGGUCAUUGUAAACAAAGAAUAACAGGAAGUGGUGUUCAGGAAGCUCCUUUUUGCUCAGGGAAUCAUCUGUGUACAAUCUUCUUAAUCCUGUGCCAUAAAUCCACAAAACCGGCUUCAUCUUUUUACAAUAUUACAUAUUUUCCUCCAUUAAAUCCUGCCAAACACAA
Long non-coding RNA from Sebastes umbrosus (honeycomb rockfish), 191 nucleotides. RefSeq lists it as uncharacterized. Lineage: Eukaryota; Metazoa; Chordata; Actinopteri; Perciformes; Sebastidae. The record is from RefSeq and is a predicted model, not a curated record. The transcript has 2 exons.